This 330-nucleotide ribosomal RNA is filed under the name uncultured eukaryote. Its description in RNAcentral is "partial 18S ribosomal RNA". It matches the Rfam family "Eukaryotic small subunit ribosomal RNA", at positions 1470 to 1796 of the family's 1831-position model. The record is from RNAcentral.
CCCUUAGACGUUCUGGGCCGCACGCGCGCUACACUGACACAGGCAACGAGCUUUCCUUUACCGAAAGGUAUGGGUAAUCUUUUGAAACUGUGUCGUGCUGGGGAUAGAUCCUUGCAAUUUUUGAUCUUAAACGAGGAAUUCCUAGUAAGCGCGAGUCAUCAACUCGCGUUGAUUACGUCCCUGCCCUUUGUACACACCGCCCGUCGCUACUACCGAUUGAACGGUUUAGUGAGGGCCUCGGAUUGGUCUCGGCCCGCUCUUCACCGGGCGGCGCCGUUGGUCGAGAAGACGCUCGAACUUGAUCGUUUAGAGGAAGUAAAAGUCGUAACA